GACGAACGCUGGCGGCGUGCCUAAUACAUGCAAGUAGAACGCACAGUAUAUACCGUAGCUUGCUACACCAUAGACUGUGAGUUGCGAACGGGUGAGUAACGCGUAGGUAACCUGCCUGGUAGCGGGGGAUAACUAUUGGAAACGAUAGCUAAUACCGCAUAAUAUUAAUUAUUGCAUGAUAAUUGAUUGAAAGAUGCAACUGCAUCACUACCAGAUGGACCUGCGUUGUAUUAGCUAGUAGGUGAGGUAACGGCUCACCUAGGCGACGAUACAUAGCCGACCUGAGAGGGUGAUCGGCCACACUGGGACUGAGACACGGCCCAGACUCCUACGGGAGGCAGCAGUAGGGAAUCUUCGGCAAUGGACGAAAGUCUGACCGAGCAACGCCGCGUGAGUGAAGAAGGUUUUCGGAUCGUAAAGCUCUGUUGUAAGAGAAGAACGGGUGUGAGAGUGGAAAGUUCACACUGUGACGGUAUCUUACCAGAAAGGGACGGCUAACUACGUGCCAGCAGCCGCGGUAAUACGUAGGUCCCGAGCGUUGUCCGGAUUUAUUGGGCGUAAAGCGAGCGCAGGCGGUUAGAUAAGUCUGAAGUUAAAGGCUGUGGCUUAACCAUAGUACGCUUUGGAAACUGUUUAACUUGAGUGCAGAAGGGGAGAGUGGAAUCCCAUGUGUAGCGGUGAAAUGCGUAGAUAUAUGGAGGAACACCGGUGGCGAAAGCGGCUCUCUGGUCUGUAACUGACGCUGAGGCUCGAAAGCGUGGGGAGCGAACAGG
This 773-nucleotide ribosomal RNA is filed under the name uncultured Streptococcus sp. RNAcentral describes it as "bacterial SSU rRNA". It matches the Rfam family "Bacterial small subunit ribosomal RNA", at positions 28 to 776 of the family's 1533-position model. The record is from RNAcentral. Lineage: Bacteria; Bacillati; Bacillota; Bacilli; Lactobacillales; Streptococcaceae.